Molecule: ribosomal RNA, 301 nt
Filed under: uncultured bacterium
Lineage: Bacteria
Description: partial 16S ribosomal RNA
Rfam family: Bacterial small subunit ribosomal RNA
Source: RNAcentral
CAGUAGCCGCGGGAACACGGAGGGUGCAAGCGUUAAUCGGAAUUACUGGGCGUAAAGCGUGCGUAGGCGGUUCGUUAAGUCUGUUGUGAAAGCCCCGGGCUCAACCUGGGAAUGGCAAUGGAUACUGGCGAGCUAGAGUGUGUCAGAGGAUGGUGGAAUUCCCGGUGUAGCGGUGAAAUGCGUAGAGAUCGGGAGGAACAUCAGUGGCGAAGGCGGCCAUCUGGGACAACACUGACGCUGAGGCACGAAAGCGUGGGGAGCAAACAGGAUUAGAGACCCCCGUAGUCCCUGUCUCUUAUAC